This 488-nucleotide ribosomal RNA is filed under the name uncultured Actinomycetes bacterium. Its description in RNAcentral is "bacterial SSU rRNA". It matches the Rfam family "Bacterial small subunit ribosomal RNA", at positions 355 to 853 of the family's 1533-position model. The record is from RNAcentral. Lineage: Bacteria; Bacillati; Actinomycetota; Actinomycetes.
UGGGGAAUAUUGCACAAUGGGCGAAAGCCUGAUGCAGCGACGCCGCGUGAGGGAUGACGGCCUUCGGGUUGUAAACCUCUUUCAGCAGGGAAGAAGCGCAAGUGACGGUACCUGCAGAAGAAGCGCCGGCUAACUACGUGCCAGCAGCCGCGGUAAUACGUAGGGCGCAAGCGUUGUCCGGAAUUAUUGGGCGUAAAGAGCUCGUAGGCGGUCUGUCGCGUCGGAUGUGAAAGCCCGGGGCUUAACCCCGGGUCUGCAUUCGAUACGGGCAGACUAGAGUGUGGUAGGGGAGAUCGGAAUUCCUGGUGUAGCGGUGAAAUGCGCAGAUAUCAGGAGGAACACCGGGUGGCGAAGGCGGAUCUCUGGGCCAUUACUGACGCUGAGGAGCGAAAGCGUGGGGAGCGAACAGGAUUAGAUACCCUGGUAGUCCACGCCCUAAACGAUGCGAACUGGAUGUUGGGAGCAAUUAGGCUCUCAGUAUCGAAGUA